Molecule: ribosomal RNA, 478 nt
Filed under: uncultured bacterium
Lineage: Bacteria
Description: partial 16S ribosomal RNA
Rfam family: Bacterial small subunit ribosomal RNA
Source: RNAcentral
GAUGAACGCUGGCGGCGUGCUUAACACAUGCAAGUCGAACGAAAAGUGGAGACGGAAACCUCCGGGCGGAAGGCGGUAGUUCGAGGAGCGGACGGGGGAGUAACGCGUGGGUAAACUGCCUCAAACAGGGGGAUAAGAGUCGGAAACGACUGAUAAUAUCGCAUCAGACGACAGAACAGCAUAGUGCGGGGGUAAAAACACCGGUGGGAGGAGAUGGACCCCCGUACGAUUAGCCAGCUGGCGGGGUAACGGCCCACCAAAGCGACGAUCGAUAGCCGGUCUGAGAGGAUCGCCGGCCACACUGGCACGGGGCCACGGCCCGGACUCCUACGGGAUGCGGCAGUGGGUAAUAGUGCACAGUGGGGGAAGCCAUGAUGCAGCGACGCCGCGUGAGUGAAGUAGUAUUGCGGUAUGUAAAGCGCUAUCAGCAGUGCACAAAAUGACGGUACCUGAGUAAGAAGCCCCGGCUAACUACGUG